UGGGGAAUAUUGGACAAUGGGGGAAACCCUGAUCCAGCAAUGCCGCGUGAGUGAAGAAGGCCUUAGGGUUGUAAAGCUCUUUCGCCCGCGAAGAUAAUGACGGUAGCGGGAGAAGAAGCCCCGGCUAACUCCGUGCCAGCAGCCGCGGUAAUACGGAGGGGGCUAGCGUUGUUCGGAAUUACUGGGCGUAAAGCGUGCGUAGGUGGUUGUUUAAGUCUGAUGUGAAAGCCCUGGGCUCAACCUGGGAAUGGCAUUGGAAACUGGGCAGCUAGAGUGCGGUAGAGGGUAGUGGAAUUCCCGGUGUAGCAGUGAAAUGCGUAGAGAUCGGGAGGAACAUCUGUGGCGAAGGCGACUGCCUGGACCAGCACUGACACUGAGGCACGAAAGCGUGGGGAGCAAACA
This 402-nucleotide ribosomal RNA is filed under the name uncultured bacterium. RNAcentral's name for it is "bacterial SSU rRNA". It matches the Rfam family "Bacterial small subunit ribosomal RNA", at positions 355 to 774 of the family's 1533-position model. The record is from RNAcentral.